RNAcentral lists this ribosomal RNA (407 nucleotides) under uncultured bacterium. Its description in RNAcentral is "partial 16S ribosomal RNA". It matches the Rfam family "Bacterial small subunit ribosomal RNA", at positions 30 to 526 of the family's 1533-position model. The record is from RNAcentral.
AUUGAACGCUGGCGGCAGGCCUAACACAUGCAAGUCGAGCGGAGCGGCGGACGGGUGAGUAAUGCCUAGGAAUCUGCCUGGUAGUGGGGGAUAACGUCAGGAAACGGGCGCUAAUACCGCAUACUAUCAGAUGAGCCUAGGUCGGAUUAGCUAGUUGGUGGGGUAAAGGCCUACCAAGGCGACGAUCCGUAACUGGUCUGAGAGGAUGAUCAGUCCAACUGGAAUGGAGACAAGGGCCAGACUCCGACGGGAGGCAGCAGUGGGGAAGUUUGGACAAUGGGCGAAAGCCGGAUCCAGCCAUGCGGGGUGUGUGAAGAAGGUCUUCGGAUUGUAAAGCACUUUAAGUUGGGAGACGUUACCAACAGAAGAAGCACCGGCUAACUUCGUGCCAGCAGCCGCGGUAAUUC